GUGGGUUCACCGCCGGGUGAGCCAUAAGCGCUUUUUGCCGUAUCGUUAGGCCUUUGAAGAUGCGGCGAGAGGCGCAUUUUGCAU
RNAcentral lists this non-coding RNA (84 nucleotides) under unclassified sequences. The record is from RNAcentral.